Molecule: long non-coding RNA, 816 nt
Filed under: Theobroma cacao (cacao)
Lineage: Eukaryota; Viridiplantae; Streptophyta; Magnoliopsida; Malvales; Malvaceae
Description: long non-coding RNA (TCAC_LNC002652)
Source: RNAcentral
AUGUCACGACCCGGAACUCCCCAUCGGGCCCGUGACAACCGCCGCGAGGCCUCGACAGACAUUCUUCACCCCGAAUGUCGAUUGAAACCUCGCAAGGCUUAGCAUCAACUUCCGCAUCUCCCCGGUGAGCAACAGUUAUUAAAUCUCGCAUUUCAAAAAAUCAUAAGUCAUUUUUAAAUAAGAACAAUAAAAUAUUAUUUUCUGGCUCACAAGGGUAUUUUCAUAAUUUUUCGUCAAAAAUCUCAAAACUUGCUAAAAAUGUAGUAGGUAAGCAGAAAAUAUAAAUUUAAUGAUUUAAAAACAAUUAAGUAUCUAAAACGUUCAUUUGAAAGUAAAUUGUUGACAACUAGUACUAUUCAAAAAUAAUAAAUAAAAUAUUCUAUUUUCUCAUAAAAUAAAUUUUUAUAGAAAUAUUCGUAAAUAAUUUUUCGCACAUGAAAGUAAAGUAAAAAUUGUAUGAAUAGAAAUACAGAUAACCAAAAUAUAAGUUUUGAUAUGCAAUGACACGUGGGCUCCAAUUGACCAAGAGGAUGUAAGAUUGUGAACUCUUACUUUCUAUAAUGCAGUUCCGAGCUUAGUUCUCGUCUUACUUGACUAUCUACAAACUGUCCUAAGCCUGAAAAAUGUAUAGGAAGGAGGGGUGAGAUUUUAUAAUCCCAGUGAGUAAACAGAUACCAUCUAAAGCAUCUAAAGUCGAGUAAAUGGAGACAAUUAAAAUAAGUCAUCAUACUGUAAUUUCAUUACCUUUCAGUUCAUUUCAACCAAAUAAAAUCAAUCCAUAUAAAUCGAGUAAUCAACUUGGCUUAUGAAUUUCUU